RNAcentral lists this ribosomal RNA (451 nucleotides) under uncultured Fibrobacter sp. Its description in RNAcentral is "bacterial SSU rRNA". It matches the Rfam family "Bacterial small subunit ribosomal RNA", at positions 341 to 792 of the family's 1533-position model. The record is from RNAcentral. Lineage: Bacteria; Pseudomonadati; Fibrobacterota; Fibrobacteria; Fibrobacterales; Fibrobacteraceae.
ACGGGAGGCAGCAGUAGGGAAUAUUGCACAAUGGGGGAAACCCUGAUGCAGCAACGCCACGUGUGGGAAGAAGCAUUUCGGUGUGUAAACCACUGUCGUGAAGGAAUAAUGCUGGACCUCGGUCCAGUUGAAUGUACUUUGAAAGGAAGCACCGGCAAACUUCGUGCCAGCAGCCGCGGUAAUACGAGGGGUGCAAGCGUUGUUCGGAAUCACUGGGCGUAAAGGGAGCGCAGGCGGAGAUGCAAGCGGACUGUACAAUCCCGGGGCCCAACCCCGGACCUGCAGUCCGGACUGCACCUCUUGGAUAGUUCAGGGGCAAGCGGAAUUCCUGGUGUAGCGGUGGAAUGCGUAGAGAUCAGGAAGAACACCGAUGGCGAAGGCAGCUUGCUGGGGACUUAUCGACGCUCAUGCUCGAAAGUGCGGGUAGCAAACAGGAUUAGAUACCCUGGUA